This is a long non-coding RNA of Numida meleagris (helmeted guineafowl), 1314 nucleotides long. RefSeq lists it as uncharacterized. NCBI's taxonomy places the organism in Eukaryota, Metazoa, Chordata, Aves, Galliformes, Numididae. The transcript is spliced from 2 exons. The record is from RefSeq and is a predicted model, not a curated record.
GGCCGGAGCCCCGCCCACUCGCUUCCGGUUCCGGCGGCGGGCAGGAUGCCAGGGCUGCCCCCAGAGCUCCUUGGUUGCACUAACCCUUAUUGUACUCAUUAACUAUUUAAUUAACUAGUGAAUUGAUUAAUUAGUUGGCUAAUUAAUUGACUAAGUAAGUAAUUAAGCAAUUAAUAAGUAUAUCAAUAAGUAAUAAUUAAUUAUCAUUUGGAUGCCCUCAAUGCGACCUCAGUCACCACCCCGCUGUCAUUAGCUCACGAAUGAAUCAACUAAGUAAUUAACGGGCUCACUAAUGAGCUAAUGAAGUAAUUAAUUAGUGAAAGAUUUCACUCCCCUGUGUCGUUAAGUAACUAAUUAGCUAACUGGUUAACUACUUAGUUAACUAAUUAAUUAAAACUUCUUCCCCCACUGGAGCUCAAGCCACCCCCCGCCCAGAAGAGCUCCACCAAUCGCAGCACUGGGUGCCCCCAGUAUCAUGAACUAAUCAAUUCAUUAAUUAACUAAGUAAUUAACUGCUUGAUGAGCUCAUGGAGCAAUUAAUUAGCUCAUGGAGCAAUUAAUUAGCUAACGAAGCUUUUAUCUCCCCGCAGGUCUGCCCCCACAGCUCCUCCAUUCGCGACGCUGGGCGUCCAGUGCCCAACCCCCAUCUAAUUAAGUAACCGAGUCAUCAACUAACGAACGAACUAAUUAAUUGCCUAACCGAUUAACUAAUUUCUGAACUAAUUAGUUAGGUAAUUAGCGAUUUCAGCUCCCUGCAGGAUGCGGGUCCCUGACCCAACCGCUUUGUCACUGAGUAACGAGAUAAUCAACUCAUGAAUUCAAUUGAAUGUCCAACUAACCAAUUAAUUAAUUAAACAAUUAAUUAACCAGUAAAUUAAUUGAUUAGCCACUUAACCAAUUAAUUGACUAAUUACUUAACCACUUAACCAAUUAAUUGACUAAUUACUUAACCACUUAACCUCUUAACCAGUGAAUUAACUAGAUAGGUUAACCACUGAACCGAUUCAUUCGCUAAUUAAUUAGCCAAUUAAAUAGCUAACUAAUGAAUCACUAAUUCAGUUAGCAAAUUCAUCAGCUAAUUAACCACUCAAUUAAGCAGUGAAUUAACCACUCAAUUAACCCAUCCGCUACCGGUUCGCUAACCAAUUAACUGAGGGAUUAAGCAAGGGAUUAAGCAAGGGAUUAAGCAAGGGAUUAACCAAUCACCUAACAAGGAGCGAACCAAUUAAUUACCUUGUUAAUUCCCCCGCUAAUUACCCCAUUAAUUACCCCGUUAAUUACCCGACCAGUUGACAAAUUCACCAGCUAAUGAAC